AGCGAACGCUGGCGGCAGGCCUAAUACAUGCACGUCGCGCGGGCGUAGCAAUACGUCAGCGGCAGACGGGAGAGUAACACGUGGGAACGUGCCUUUCGGUUCGGAAUAACUCAGGGAAACUUGAGCUAAUACCGGAUAAGCCCUUCGGGGGAAAGAUUUAUUGCCAUUGGAGCGGCCCGCGUCGUAUUGGCUAGUUGGUGGGGUAAUGUCUAACCAAGGCGACGAUCCGGAGAUGGUCUGAGAGGAGGACCAGCCUCACUGGGACUGAGACACGGCCCAGACUCCGACGGGAGGCAGCAGUGGGGAAUAUUGGACAAUGGGCGCAAGCCUGAUCCAGCCAUGCCGCGUGGAUGAUGAAGGCCCUAGAGUUGUAAAGUCCUUUUAACGGGGAAGAUAAUGACGGUACCCGUAGAAUAAGCCCCGGCUAACUUCGUGCCAGCCGCCGCCGUAA
Molecule: ribosomal RNA, 451 nt
Filed under: uncultured bacterium
Lineage: Bacteria
Description: partial 16S ribosomal RNA
Rfam family: Bacterial small subunit ribosomal RNA
Source: RNAcentral